AGUGAACGCUGGCGGUAGGCCUAACACAUGCAAGUCGAACGACAGCACAGUAAGAGCUUGCUCUUACGGGUGGCGAGUGGCGGACGGGUGAGGAAUACAUCGGAAUCUACUUUUUCGUGGGGGAUAACGUAGGGAAACUUACGCUAAUACCGCAUACGACCUACGGGUGAAAGCAGGGGAUCUUCGGACCUUGCGCGAUUGAAUGAGCCGAUGUCGGAUUAGCUAGGUGGCGGGGUAAAGGCCCACCAAGGCGACGAUCCGUAGCUGGUCUGAGAGGAUGAUCAGCCACACUGGAACUGAGACACGGUCCAGACUCCUACGGGAGGCAGCAGUGGGGAAUAUUGGACAAUGGGCGCAAGCCUGAUCCAGCCAUACCGCGUGGGUGAAGAAGGCCUUCGGGUUGUAAAGCCCUUUUGUUGGGAAAGAAAAGCAGCAGGUUAAUACCCCGCUGUUCUGACGGUACCCAAAGAAUAAGCACCGGCUAACUUCGUG
Molecule: ribosomal RNA, 492 nt
Filed under: uncultured bacterium
Lineage: Bacteria
Description: partial 16S ribosomal RNA
Rfam family: Bacterial small subunit ribosomal RNA
Source: RNAcentral